RNAcentral lists this ribosomal RNA (372 nucleotides) under uncultured organism. Its description in RNAcentral is "partial 16S ribosomal RNA". It matches the Rfam family "Bacterial small subunit ribosomal RNA", at positions 527 to 896 of the family's 1533-position model. The record is from RNAcentral.
GUAGGUGGCAAGCGUUGUCCGGAAUUAUUGGGCGUAAAGCGCGCGCAGGCGGUUCUUUAAGUCUGAUGUGAAAGCCCACGGCUCAACCGUGGAGGGUCAUUGGAAACUGGAGAACUUGAGUACAGAAGAGGAAAGCGGAAUUCCACGUGUAGCGGUGAAAUGCGUAGAGAUGUGGAGGAACACCAGUGGCGAAGGCGACUUUCUGGUCUGUAACUGACGCUGAGGCGCGAAAGCGUGGGGAGCAAACAGGGAUUAGAUACCCUGGUAGUCCACGCCGUAAACGAUGAGUGCUAAGUGUUAGGGGGUUUCCGCCCCCUUAGUGCUGCAGCUAACGCAUUAAGCACUCCGCCUGGGGAUACGGCCGCAAGGCUG